AACAGAAAAGAAUUAUGAAAUCAAAUUGAUAUAAAUGUUUGCAUACUUCAUUGGCAGUUUUUCAGUGGGGAUUUGCUUGUAGAGAUAUAUACAAAGCAGUUUCAGCUUGGAGUGAUAGUGUCUAUA
Molecule: long non-coding RNA, 126 nt
Organism: Telopea speciosissima
Lineage: Eukaryota; Viridiplantae; Streptophyta; Magnoliopsida; Proteales; Proteaceae
Exons: 3
Source: RefSeq, a predicted model, not a curated record